GCCCGGGUGGUGGAAUGGUAGACACGAGGGACUUAAAAUCCCUUGCGCAUUGCGCGCGUGCGGGUUCAAGUCCCGCCCCGGGUA
This 84-nucleotide transfer RNA is filed under the name Flavobacteriales bacterium. Its description in RNAcentral is "tRNA-Leu". It matches the Rfam family "tRNA". From Rfam's summary of the family: Transfer RNA (tRNA) molecules are approximately 80 nucleotides in length. Their secondary structure includes four short double-helical elements and three loops (D, anti-codon, and T loops). Lineage: Bacteria; Pseudomonadati; Bacteroidota; Flavobacteriia; Flavobacteriales. The record is from RNAcentral.